Mytilus californianus (California mussel) is the source of this 1609-nucleotide long non-coding RNA. RefSeq lists it as uncharacterized. The record is from RefSeq and is a predicted model, not a curated record. The transcript has 5 exons. NCBI's taxonomy places the organism in Eukaryota, Metazoa, Mollusca, Bivalvia, Mytilida, Mytilidae.
AGGUGAAUAUGCAUAGCCAUUGUCAGGUUUAGUAAAAGAUGUCGAAAUACUAUCCACAAGAGGCAUAGUAUAUGCCAAGAACGGGACAGCUAUCAGCUUGACAUGCAAAAUCAAUGUAAUAGGAAGUAUCCAGUUCAUUCGUUUUAUUCCUGAUGAAAAUAUGCACUAUCUUUUAAAAUUGAAUGUCACGAUGAAUUCUGAAGAAUGCACAUCUUCGAUAAAUAUAACAUUUUCUUGUGACCUCAAACAUAAGGUAUUCGUUAUCACCUUGAGUCCAACACAGUAUGAUUUUGGACAAACUUGGACAUGUAGUGCUUAUGUUGACCAACAAUAUACAAACAUAUCGGAUAACGUUACAGUCUGUUUAGAGAAAGAUACGGUCAAUAAUUCCACUGGUUUGGAGAAAAUAAAUAAUCCCGGAGUAGACAAAGAUUUUGGAAAACCUUCUACAUUGAAAACUCUCAAGUAUUCACUCAUCGACAUGCUUAUAGUCGGUUUCGUGUGCAUCACCACGACGGCUAUGUUUACGUUAUCACUAACUGUAUUGUACUUUAGAUACGUUAAUAAACAAGAAGAUGCUCAAGAAAAUAAGAGGAGAUCUUAUGAAGACGUCCACUCUGCCUCAUCAGCUACAUAUGACAAUAUAAACUGAUUGCAUCUUAGUCAUCUUAUUUUCUGUACGAGUAGGUUUCAAUGUAAACGUUUCCAUACAAGUAUACAUUUUAAAAAUUGUCUAUAUUUUUGGUCCCAAACAACUGCAUAAUUUUACAAUACAUUUUCGUGUUAAGUUAAACUUAAGAAAACUUAUUUUUUGCUGUCUGUCAUGUUUGUUUUUCGUUUAUGGUUUGUUCAUAAAUCAGGCCGUCGGCUUUCUCGUUUGGGUUGUUUAUUAUUAUGUCAGGCCGGGAUUUUAUAUACAUAACUAUACGGUGUCGUUUUUAUUAAUUGCUGAACGCGUUGUGACCUUUACAUCCACGUCACUUGCAUAGUCUCUAAUAGAUAGUUGUCUCUGUCAAUGGCAAUUAUGCCACACCUUCUCAUUUUUAUAUUAACAACAACAAAAAAUAAAACAAUCAAACAGUAAAACAAACACACAAACAAGCUAUAAAAUAAAAUAAACAAACACAAACGAGUGAAAUAACUUUUCUUCUGAAGGUUGUGCUUUUUUUUCGAAAAAGUAUACUGGAAAAUGAAAUUUUGGAAUUUUACCAAAUAAAUGCCUAAACAAAACUGAAAAAUUAUAUAGUGCGUAUCAAUGCAAUGACAAAUAUAUAUUAGAUCUCUUCAAGCUAUACUGUAAUCUCCUUAACAUCAACUCAGAGUGUCACGUACAUUAUACGAUUUCAAAUGUAAGUUCUAACUAAAAACGUUUUCAACCCAGAAUUAUAUUCGUUCAUGAAAGGGAUGGAUCCUGACAACGGUACGUGCUUUUGGUUACGAAUAAUACAAAAAAUAGACAACAUUUUAUAUUGAAAUUGAAAGAUGAAGUAAAUUACUAUACAUAAAGAAAUUUACAGGGUAUGUAUUUUAUCGUCAAUAACGUUUUUGUUUGGUGUUUCUUUUAAUAAACCUGUCACCAUGUAAAUGUUAAAAAUGAUAUUAUAUAUGG